CCUACGGGUGGCAGCAGUGGGGAAUAUUGGACAAUGGGCGAAAGCCUGAUCCAGCCAUGCCGCGUGUGUGAAGAAGUCCUUCGGGUUGUAAAGCACUUUCAGUGGGGAAGAAAGCCUUGGGGCUAAUACCCUCGAGGAAGGACAUCACCCACAGAAGAAGCACCGGCUAACUCCGUGCCAGCAGCCGCGGUAAUACGGAGGGUGCGAGCGUUAAUCGGAAUUACUGGGCGUAAAGCGCGCGUAGGCGGUCUGAUAAGCCGGUUGUGAAAGCCCCGGGCUCAACCUGGGAACGGCAUCCGGAACUGUCAGGCUAGAGUGCAGGAGAGGAAGGUAGAAUUCCCGGUGUAGCGGUGAAAUGCGUAGAGAUCGGGAGGAAUACCAGUGGCGAAGGCGGCCUUCUGGACUGACACUGACGCUGAGGUGCGAAAGCGUGGGUAGCAAACAGGAUUAGAUACCCGAGUAGUC
RNAcentral lists this ribosomal RNA (465 nucleotides) under Vreelandella stevensii. RNAcentral's name for it is "partial 16S ribosomal RNA". It matches the Rfam family "Bacterial small subunit ribosomal RNA", at positions 338 to 795 of the family's 1533-position model. The record is from RNAcentral. Lineage: Bacteria; Pseudomonadati; Pseudomonadota; Gammaproteobacteria; Oceanospirillales; Halomonadaceae.